CACCAUAUAUUUAAACCUAUGAAUGGGAAUUUGCCUCUUUCCUGGUUCCACUGUAGAGUGAAAGAAUUCCUGGCUCUUUCUGUUGCAGAGCUGACUUUGUGACAUUCUGCUGUUGCUGUACAGAGUUGGGUAACAUAC
Small nucleolar RNA from Hyaena hyaena (striped hyena), 138 nucleotides. RefSeq annotates it as small nucleolar RNA SNORA46. NCBI's taxonomy places the organism in Eukaryota, Metazoa, Chordata, Mammalia, Carnivora, Hyaenidae. The record is from RefSeq and is a predicted model, not a curated record. The transcript has a single exon.